RNAcentral lists this ribosomal RNA (515 nucleotides) under uncultured bacterium. RNAcentral's name for it is "partial 16S ribosomal RNA". It matches the Rfam family "Bacterial small subunit ribosomal RNA", at positions 28 to 523 of the family's 1533-position model. The record is from RNAcentral.
GAUGAACGCCGGCGGCGUGCCUAAUACAUGCAAGUCGAGCGAAUGGAUUGAGAGCUUGCUCUUAUGAAGUUAGCGGCGGACGGGUGAGUAACACGUGGGUAACCUGCCCAUAAGACUGGGAUAACUCCGGGAAACCGGGGCUAAUACCGGAUAACAUUUUGAACCGCAUGGUUCGAAAUUGAAAGGCGGCUUCGGCUGUCACUUAUGGAUGGACCCGCGUCGCAUUAGCUAGUUGGUGAGGUACAGGCUCACCAAGGCAACGACGCGUAGCCGACCUGAGAGGGGGAUCGGCCACACUGGGACUGAGACACGGCCCAGACUCCUACGGGAGGCAGCAGUAGGGAAUCUUCCGCAAUGGACGAAAGUCUGACGGAGCAACGCCGCGUGAGUGAUGAAGGCUUUCGGGUCGUAAAACUCUGUUGUUAGGGAAGAACAAGUGCUAGUUGAAUAAGCUGGCACCUUGACGGUACCUAACCAGAAAGCCACGGCUAACUACGUGCCAGCCGCCGCAGUAA